CGGAGGGUGCAAGCGUUAUCCGGAUUCACUGGGUUUAAAGGGUGCGUAGGUGGGCAAGUAAGUCAGUGGUGAAAUCUCCGGGCUUAACCCGGAAACUGCCAUUGAUACUAUUUGUCUCGAAUACUGUGGAGGUCAGCGGAAUAUGUCAUGUAGCGGUGAAAUGCUUAGAUAUGACAUAGAACACCAAUUGCGAAGGCAGCUGGCUACACAAAUAUUGACACUGAGGCACGAAAGCGUGGGGAUCAAACAGGAUUAGAUACCCUGGUAGUCCACGCCCUAAACUAUGGAUACUCGACAUUUGCGAUAAACUGCAAGUGUCUGAGCGAAAGCAUUAAGUAUCCCACCUGGGAAGUACGAUCGCAAGAUUG
RNAcentral lists this ribosomal RNA (368 nucleotides) under uncultured organism. Its description in RNAcentral is "bacterial SSU rRNA". It matches the Rfam family "Bacterial small subunit ribosomal RNA", at positions 526 to 896 of the family's 1533-position model. The record is from RNAcentral.